This 301-nucleotide ribosomal RNA is filed under the name uncultured bacterium. RNAcentral describes it as "partial 16S ribosomal RNA". It matches the Rfam family "Bacterial small subunit ribosomal RNA", at positions 509 to 807 of the family's 1533-position model. The record is from RNAcentral.
CAGUAGCCGCGGUAAUACGUAGGGUGCAAGCGUUAAUCGGAAUUAUUGGGCGUAAAGCGCGCGCAGGUGGUUCGCUAAGACAGAUGUGAAAUCCCCGGGCUUAACCUGGGAACUGCAUUUGUGACUGGCGGGCUAGAGUAUGGCAGAGGGGGGUAGAAUUCCACGUGUAGCAGUGAAAUGCGUAGAGAUGUGGAGGAAUACCGAUGGCGAAGGCAGCCCACUGGGCCAAUACUGACGCUCAUGCACGAAAGCGUGGGGAGCAAACAGGAUUAGAUACCCCCGUAGUCCCUGUCUCUUAUAC